Unclassified non-coding RNA from Ochotona princeps (American pika), 271 nucleotides. Its record names the gene 7SK. It matches the Rfam family "7SK RNA". Rfam says of the family: 7SK was discovered as an abundant small nuclear RNA in the mid-70s but a possible function has only recently been suggested. Two independent studies have found that 7SK RNA binds the CDK9/cyclin T complex (known as elongation factor P-TEFb). The record is from Ensembl. Lineage: Eukaryota; Metazoa; Chordata; Mammalia; Lagomorpha; Ochotonidae.
GGAGGUAAGGGCAGUUUGGCUGCAUUAUCUGUCGCCCCGUUGAUCGCUGGCUAGGUGAGUGUCCCCUUCCUCCCUCACCACUCCAUGUGUGUCCCUCCCGAAGCCGUGUGCUCGGUCGAAGAAGAUGACCAUCCCUGCUAGAGGAGGACCAGACUUCAGUCAAGGGUAUACAAGGACCUGUGCUCCUCUACCAGAACCUCCAAACAAACUCUCCAGAGUUCCAAGGGCAAGCUCACACCCCUGUUUUUUUCCUGUUUUAGCAAAAGACAAG